Non-coding RNA from Paralichthys olivaceus (Japanese flounder), 437 nucleotides. Lineage: Eukaryota; Metazoa; Chordata; Actinopteri; Pleuronectiformes; Paralichthyidae. The record is from RefSeq and is a predicted model, not a curated record.
CAGACCAAAUCAUUUUUCUCCGCAGUUUCAGUCGUCGUCUUUUUUAAGGUGGAACAAGUGGAAGUGACGCUCAAAGCUUUUUACACCAACCCUGAAGAAAAAGAAGACUUGAAGAAGAAGUUUCUGGAAACCUUCGGGACUGAAUGGCUGAUCGUGUCUGUGACCCACCUGAGGCCUCUGGGUUCAGAGGAAGGUUGAUCUCUUGCAAGCUUGCUGUGGGAACCGCAACAUGCGUGCUGAAAUGAACACGCAGCUGAGACCGUGGUUGAAUGUUUAGGGCGCCCUGUGUCCAUAAAAGUUGCUUUCUUCGCUCCCAGGGUGAAAACUUGUGCUGCAAGGACUGACCAGCCAAACUAACCCCACAAGCACAGGAACAGUUUUCCCACUGGUUGACAGAAAUUUUGCAUUUGAAUUAAAGGUUUUUCAUGUGUAUAUCA